RNAcentral lists this long non-coding RNA (549 nucleotides) under Nicotiana benthamiana. RNAcentral's name for it is "long non-coding RNA (NBEN_LNC029180)". The record is from RNAcentral. Lineage: Eukaryota; Viridiplantae; Streptophyta; Magnoliopsida; Solanales; Solanaceae.
AAAGAUUUUAUGAUGAUUUUGCUUGGUUGAUUUUGGGUGACUUAUCGGCUUCUAGGGUUUUUGACGGUCUAACCUGAGGUUUUACUGUAUUCCGGUGGCUCGAUUAUCACUUUGAGGACACUUUGGGUGCAUUUCCGGCGUUGCUGGCCAGAUUUCCGGUAGAAUUUGUUUUCAAAGUUGUACCUAGGGUUUCUCUACUGUUUGAAGGCCGAUCUUCACCGGUCACGAAGAAGGAGGGUAACUCUGUCCUUAUCUUCAAUAUUAUAUGUGAUUAUUUGACUCUGUUAUUGUGAGCAUCUGGUGUUGUCUGUGAAUAUUUGACCUAACUGUAGUCUGUUUGUUGGUUGCUGUGUUUGAAUACCUGUUUUGGUAGUAUUCUGUUUGUUGAAAAGUUAUUCAUUGAAGCCGGUUCAUUAUGGCUUCUAGCACAAACACUGGUGCCUCUACUGCUGUAGAUUCUUCUAGUCCCCUUUUUGUGUACUCGUCUGAUGUCCCUGGGGUAUCACUUGUUCCCACUCCCUUCUCGGGUAGUGGUUAUGGGGGCUGGAG